RNAcentral lists this ribosomal RNA (76 nucleotides) under Oesophagostomum stephanostomum. RNAcentral describes it as "partial 28S ribosomal RNA". It matches the Rfam family "Eukaryotic large subunit ribosomal RNA", at positions 1 to 75 of the family's 3401-position model. The record is from RNAcentral. Lineage: Eukaryota; Metazoa; Nematoda; Chromadorea; Rhabditida; Strongylidae.
AUGCAACCUGAGCUCAGUCGUGAUUACCCGCUGAACUUAAGCAUAUCACUUAGCGGAGGAAAAGAAACUAAAUGUU